This is a long non-coding RNA of Molossus molossus (Pallas's mastiff bat), 1186 nucleotides long. RefSeq lists it as uncharacterized. The transcript is spliced from 5 exons. The record is from RefSeq and is a predicted model, not a curated record. Lineage: Eukaryota; Metazoa; Chordata; Mammalia; Chiroptera; Molossidae.
CUGGGACCAAUUUAUGUGAACGCUUUCUCCGGACCGGAUUCUUGGAUGCAUUUCCUCCGGACGGUGUUUAUCUGAGCACUUCCUCCGGAUUAGAAUCGUUGGUGCACUUUUUCCAGAGGAUUCGUCUGGAAACGGCUCGGAAUGGCCACAGCCCUGCCCCCCGAAGGACAGCAAGGACCUGUAGUAGUUAAGGCAGAAGAGCGUUGCUGGGGUGGGGGCUGCACCGCACCAACGCCGGGGCCGCCAGGGCGGGAACUCUGCUAUCAGGAUGCACCUUGGCCCGGCUCCGCGAGCUGUGCCGGCUGUGGCUGCGGCCACAACGCCACACGAAGGAGCAGAUUUUAGACCUACUGGUGCUGGAGCAGUUCCUGAACAUCCUACCAGGGGACCUUCGACAUUGGUGUAGGUGCACCAUCCGGAGACAGGCGAGCAGGAGGAGUACUCAACUUGGGGUCAGUAGAUGUCGGGGACAGUACAGAACAGCACUAUCCAACAGAACUAUAAUGUGAACCACAUUCAGAUAGAAACAGGUGAAACCAAAUGGUACAUUUUAUUUAACCCAGAAUAUGUAAUCAGUAUAAAAGUGAGAUGUUUUAUGUUGUUCAAAGUUUGGUGUGUAUUUUACACUUCGCAGAUCUCAGGUCUUACUAGCCCUGUUUCAAGUGCUCUGUAACCGCAUUUUGCUUGUGGCUGUAACACUGGACAUCGUUCUUGCAGUUCUUUCACCAAAUCUACCUUACAAGGCCAACCAUACUCUAUUGUUCUAAAUCCCAUCCAAGUCAGAAAGACAGGACACACUUCUGGACAAGUUGGCCUCCUUGGGAAUGGUCACAUGAGUUACUGACUGUCCAGCUCCACCCAAAGAAGACCCAGCAGGAGCCCCAAAGGAAUGAUGUUUUCUAUGAAUCAAAGGCACAGCCCUCCACUAGCAGAAGGCUUACAACAUGCUUUAUUGAGAUCAUGGCUUUAUGUUGGUGGUCUGGAACCAAACUUCAGUGUCUCCGAGGUCUGCCUGUAUCUACAUGUGAAGAAGAGCUGGUGUGAAUUCACUUUUUAUACAUGUAAAUUUGCAGUGCCUGUGAGACAUCCCAGUAAAUAAAAUUCAGCAUGCAGUGCAGUUUAAAAUGUUCUAGAUCGCCAGGUGGUGUGGCUCAGUGGUUGAGCAUCGACACAUGCACCAGUUUGA